RNAcentral lists this ribosomal RNA (399 nucleotides) under uncultured bacterium. RNAcentral's name for it is "bacterial SSU rRNA". It matches the Rfam family "Bacterial small subunit ribosomal RNA", at positions 356 to 773 of the family's 1533-position model. The record is from RNAcentral.
AGGGAAUCUUCCGCAAUGGACGAAAGUCUGACGGAGCAACGCCGCGUGAGUGAUGAAGGUUUUCGGAUUGUAAAGCUCUGUCAUCUGGGACGAUAAUGACGGUACCAGAUGAGGAAGCCACGGCUAACUACGUGCCAGCAGCCGCGGUAAUACGUAGGUGGCAAGCGUUGUCCGGAAUUAUUGGGCGUAAAGCGCGCGCAGGCGGCUGUUUAAGUCUGGUGUAUAAUCCUGGGGCUCAACUCCGAGUCGCACUGGAAACUGGACGGCUUGAGUGCAGAAGAGGAGAGUGGAAUUCCACGUGUAGCGGUGAAAUGCGUAGAGAUGUGGAGGAACACCAGUGGCGAGGGCGACUCUCUGGGCUGUAACUGACGCUGAGGCGCGAAAGCGUGGGGAGCAAAC